Molecule: long non-coding RNA, 2391 nt
Filed under: Homo sapiens (human)
Lineage: Eukaryota; Metazoa; Chordata; Mammalia; Primates; Hominidae
Description: HSALNT0372997
Source: RNAcentral
UGAAGCUUGCAGGCCACGGUGACUGGCUCCAUGCUGCCUUGGGAAGCCCUACAUGACCUCUACAUGGUCCUUCUUCAGUAUGUGAAGUACAGAGGCAACACCAGGACAUUUUGAAGGGCAAAAGAAGGUUCAAUGGGGCAAUUUCCAAGGCAUCUUGCUCCACUGCUGGUAAGCAAUUAGCAGGCUUUCUACAGGGACUUCUCAAAAGAGGAUCCAGAAGGCAGGCUCAGCAUUGCAGCCUGGCUGCAGGCCACAGUGUGGCAGACGCAUGUAUUCAUGGGCAUGUCAAAUACAUCACUUCAAUACGAAAUUCAUAGGCCCAACAUUCAUCUGCGAGAUUGAACACUGGGUAGCUCAAAAGCUAGUCUUCUGAAAGCAUCCUACAAAACACCCGAAGUUGCCGUUCCAGAAUUGCUAUAAUUUCACGACUGUGCAAGCUGUACUAGUAGUACACAGGCAAAGGGAUAGAAAAAAGAUUAUAUUAAUGCUCAAGGGGGAAAAGCAAGAUUAUAAAGGACUUAGCAGAGCUAUGUUCUGAUAAUAAACCAAGAGCAUUUAGGACCCAACCUAGAAAAAAAUGGAUUUACAGCCGAAGUCUUUCCUGUUUGGGGCUACAGCAUCAUUCUGUCAUUCUAACCACAUUUAUCCUGAACCUCCCCCCACCACCCGCUGCCCAUGUGCUGGCCACCGUGCUGGGAUCAACAAAACUGAAUGAGACACAGGACCUGAUACUGGGGAGCUGACCAUCUAGCAGGUGACGUAUGGAUGGAUGAAGCAUCUUAGGACAUCUAAAGAAAGAGAUCACUCCUCCAUACUGAUCCUAAAGUUGACCUCCAGAUAACAUUCUGUCACAUGCAUGUGCACCAGAGAUGGGGAGAACACACAGAAUGGGAAGAACCACAACUGUUUAGGUGCAUGAAUUCUACAAUUUGUAAAAACUCAUUGUUUUUCACCUAGUAUAUGUAAGAAUUGAAUAAUAACACAGAGAAAUAAAUUCUAGCAUUAAAGAAUAAACCAGAAAUCUCCUUAAAGGAACACAAGUAACAAAGCCUGGCAGGGGUGGGAAACAGCAGAAAUUACCACAUUUUGCUUGGAUCUUGAAAAUUGUGAAUUCUCAGUGAAGUCCAAUUUUCACUUUUUAAUAAUGGAGCUCUAUAACAUCUUAAAACUCUGGGUUUAUGUAUUUUUAUUAUCAACUCUAUAAAUUCAAUAAAGAAGUGGAGUAAAGGUUCAGGACAAGAAGAAGGAGAAAAGAACAGUUAAAAAUUUGGGAAAUACUAGCACUUCAUUCUUUACCAAGUUGUCACUCUAUCACUGCAAGCGUGAGGAUUGGUGAAAAGUAUUAAGCAGACUAAGAUUGCACCCCAGAGAGCCCAGGCUUAUACAACCAGCACACUUCCCCCACUAACUGACAUACUCAACUAAUAACUACUGAAUGUUGCCCAUUGGCCAGCCGCAUCCAACCCUUAUCCCACUGCAUCCUCAAAUCUGCCACCUUACAGAUGAAGAAAUGGAAAUGUAAACAAGUUAGGUGACUAAGAACAGAGUGUAAUGAGCAUCGUGGUUGACUCCCUGCCAUUCAUGCACAUCAUGCUAAUAUAAAGUAAUCAGGCUACAUGAUCCCCAGCCAAGAAUGAGUUCAAGAAUAUUCCUGGGACAUAUUUCUGCUGGAAGUCUCCCAGGGAAAGUUUCCCUUUCCUGAGAGCGGGCUCCCCAGUCAGAGAUCUCUCUCUUCUGGUCUAGCAACAAUGUGAAUGCAUUCUGCUCCCGAGGAGAAUAACACCGAGGAUGGCAAACAGGCAAGGGGGAAAGAUGGCAAGCGUCCUUGAUGACACCACUUAGCUGCCAACCCCACCAACCCACAGCUAGCCCAACUUCUGGACUUCGUGUUAUGAGAUAAUAAAUUUCCUAAGCAUCUGUGCUGGGAUGAGUCAGGUUCUCUUUCAUUUUCAUCAAAAGCAUCUUGGCUGAUACAAAAAGCCAGGAUCCAAACCCAGGUCUGUGUGAUUACCAAGAACCUACUCAUUCCAAGAGUUUUCUAGUCUGUCUCUGGUAUGCAUAAAGUCCCGAAGGGUUUCCAAGUCAACAGCUGCAGUGGUCCUGGAGUCAGACAGACUUGGACUAAAUCCCAGAUCUGCCACUAAUUAGCUGGGUGAUUGUGGGCAAAUUACCUCUCCUUUUUAUGCCUGUUACCUCAUCUGAAAAAUGGGGAUAAUCAUUGCACCUGCCACAAAGAGCUGUUUGAAGACCAAAGGAAAUUUCCACACAGUCGGUGCUCAGUGAUCAUUAGUUUUCAUGAGCAGGGGAACUGAAUGAUUUUUGGUGGCUAGAUUCUUUUGAUCAGAAUCUUUGUAAUGUUUUGAAUAGAGUAACAUUUACUUUCUCCUGACA